Ochotona princeps (American pika) is the source of this 220-nucleotide long non-coding RNA. RefSeq lists it as uncharacterized. The transcript is spliced from 2 exons. Lineage: Eukaryota; Metazoa; Chordata; Mammalia; Lagomorpha; Ochotonidae. The record is from RefSeq and is a predicted model, not a curated record.
AACCUCAAUGUGUACAACAGGCAUUCACGAAGCCUGAAAGGCAGGGACUUUUUUUUUUUUUAACCGGUAUGUGGAUAGAAGCGUUUCACAAUCCAGUGAGUUGUCCAGACAUUGCUGAGGAUAGACUACAAGGGCCUCAAGAAAAUGGGGGAACAGAACCCAGUGAUACUUCGGGACCCUCUGAACCUAGUACUGUCUACUUAUGAAUAAUAUGAUAAUA